Molecule: ribosomal RNA, 274 nt
Filed under: uncultured bacterium
Lineage: Bacteria
Description: partial 16S ribosomal RNA
Rfam family: Bacterial small subunit ribosomal RNA
Source: RNAcentral
CUACGAAGGGGGCUAGCGUUGUUCGGAUUUACUGGGCGUAAAGCGCACGUAGGCGGAUUGAUUAGCUAGGGGUGAAAUCCCGAGGCUCAACCUCGGAACUGCCUCUAAAACUGUCAAUCUCGAGACCGGAAGAGGUGAGUGGAACUCCUAGUGUAGAGGUGGAAUUCGUAGAUAUUAGGAAGAACACCAGUGGCGAAGGCGGCUCACUGGUCCGGUACUGACGCUGAGGUGCGAAAGCGUGGGGAGCGAACAGGAUUAGAAACCCUAGUAGUCC